This 404-nucleotide ribosomal RNA is filed under the name uncultured bacterium. RNAcentral's name for it is "partial 16S ribosomal RNA". It matches the Rfam family "Bacterial small subunit ribosomal RNA", at positions 338 to 734 of the family's 1533-position model. The record is from RNAcentral.
CCUACGGGGGGCAGCAGUGGGGAAUCUUCCGCAAUGGGCGCAAGCCUGACGGAGCAAUGCCGCGUGAACGAAGAAGGUCUUCGGAUUGUAAAGUUCUGUCCUUAUCGAAGAGAGAGUAUAGAGUGAAAAAUGAUAUACUAGGACGGUAGAUGAGGAGAAAGCCCCGGCUAACUACGUGCCAGCAGCCGCGGUAAUACGGGGGAUGCGAGCGUUAUCCGGAUUUAUUGGGUUAAAAGGGUGCGUAGGCGGAUUGUAAAGUCAGCGGUAAAAUGUCCGGGCUAAACCCGGGCCGGCCGUUGAAACUGGGGAUCUUGAGUGGGGGAGAGGUAGGCGGAAUGCGUGGUGUAGCGGUGAAAUGCGUAGAUAUCACGAAGAACUCCGGUUGCGAAGGCAGCAUACCGGCG